This 468-nucleotide ribosomal RNA is filed under the name uncultured bacterium. RNAcentral's name for it is "partial 16S ribosomal RNA". It matches the Rfam family "Bacterial small subunit ribosomal RNA", at positions 28 to 507 of the family's 1533-position model. The record is from RNAcentral.
GACGAACGCUGGCGGCGUGCUUAACACAUGCAAGUCGAACGGAAAGGCCCUGCUUUUGUGGGGUUCUCGAGUGGCGAACGGGUGAGUAACACGUGAGUAACCUGCCCUUGACUUUGGGAUAACUUCAGGAAACUGGGGCUAAUACCGGAUAGGAGCUCCUGCUGCAUGGUGGGGGUUGGAAAGUUUCGGCGGUUGUGGAUGGACUCGCGGCUUAUCAGCUUGUUGGUCGAGUAGUGGCUUACCAAGGCUUUGACGGGUAGCCGGCCUGAGAGGGUGACCGGCCACCUUGGGACUGAGAUACGGCGCAGACUCCUACGGGAGGCAGCAGUGGAGAAUAUUGCACAAUGGGCGGAAGCCUGAUGCAGCGACGCCGCGUGCGGGAUGACGGCCUUCGGGUUGUAAACCGCUUUCGCCUGUGACGAAGCGUGAGUGACGGUAAUGGGUAAAGAAGCACCGGCUAACUACGUG